CCGGUGCUCGGCGCCAGCCUGCACUGGACGUACCACCCGGCGAACGGCACCGCGGACGUCGCGUUCCGCGCGCCGCAGAGUAGCAGCGGCGGGUGGGUGGCGUGGGGCAUCAACACCCAGGGCGCCGGCAUGGUCGGCAGCAGCGUGUUCAUCGCCUCGCAGAUCAACGCCACCGGCGCCGGCGCCGGCGGCGUGUCCGUCGUCACGACGGUGCUGGAGAGCUUCAGCCCCAGCCUGAGGAACGGGACCCUCAGGUUCGACGUGCCGGCGCCGCCCGCCGCCGAGUACUCGGCCGGCGCGUACACCAUCUACGCGACGGUGGCGCUGCCGGGGAACUCGACGACGCAGAACAUGGUGUGGCAGGCCGGGCCGGUCAGGGGAGGGGCCAUAGCGAUGCACCCGACGACGGGGGCGAACCUGAGGAGCACCAAGAAGCACGACUUCACGUCUUGAUGCGUAGUAGGCUUAGGAAUAAGCAUUAUUAUUAUCAUUGCCAUACCAUACAGCAUAUGUUUCUGAUGUUGUUUGCUAUCGGUUUUUAUACUAAAUAAAAGUGCAAUGUGUUGAGGAAUUACUAGCAAGUUUUGGCAGAUACUCGCUCCAUUUCACAAUGUAAGUCAUUCUAGCAUUUCUCACAUUUAUAUUGCUGUUAAUGAAUCUAGACAUAUAUAAAUGUGAGAAAUGUUAGAAUGACUUACAUUGUGAAAUGGAGGAAGAAUCUUGCUACUUUGUUCGAUGGUAAAAGGUUUGUAACGUGUAGACAGACGAUCGGUGGAGCUCCAACUACGCACGAUUCUGUUUUUAGCCGAUACGGGGUGUUCAACCCGAGCAAGAUGACAUCAAGUGUUCUUGCGAUGAGACGGACAUAGAACAGUGGAGUGGACAGGCCAGCUCGUCGCCAUUUUCACCGAACUCGUCGAGGGGCCUAUGCGCAUCUUCAGUCUUGAUCAGGUCGCGGAUGGCGUGGUCGGAGCUGGAAGAAGGAUUGGCUGACGCUGUGCUCUGUUCAUGGACAGAGGAGAUGCUUUCGCGGUAACAGGAUAUAAUUCCCAAGAUUCAUUGAAGCUGAUGGUGUUGCUACGGUUGCUGUAUGCUACUCGAUAGAAAAACGUCAGUACUGUCCAGCGUUCCAUGGUUACAUAGAACCCAUGAUUCCGUGAACGCUUUUUGGUUCGAACCGAAUAUGUAGGAUUAACCCGUGAUAAUUUGUAAUAUCAAUGCAUCCGGAUAAGUAAUUCCAAAUUUCCAAUGCGAUUAUGGGUGUGUAACGUAAAUGUUCGCAGCCUUGCCAAUGACAUGCCUGCCAUGAGCCCAUGACAUAUUGACACCGACACAUACACUGCAUAAAAAUCAAGUGUGACAAUAGGGGAACAUAUAUUACCAUCUGGAGUUAGGUCAACGCGCACUUUUCUAAGGAGAAAUUAAUACGUGUCCGUGGUCGAUGGUCGGGACGAAGUCACCGCUCCUUGUGGUUUUUCAGGGAAUGUUGGAACAAGUCCGUAAUUACGUAGCAAUCGACGUCUGCCUCCGAAAUGAAAUGUAAGACACGGCAGUAGAAACAAAUUAUCCGACAAUUACAAGGCAACCUAGUUGAUCAUGUUAAAUUAUCCGACAAUUACAGCGCGCACUUCAUGAAGCCUGCAAAAAAGAUCAGAUGCGAAGUAAUUAUCGGAGUAUGGCGGCGGCGGCGCGUACACGAUCUACGUGACGGUGGCGCUGCCGAUGAACUCCACGACGCAGAACACGGUGUGGCAGGCCGGGCCGGGCAGCACCGGGGCGAUUGCGUCGCACCCGACGUCGGGGCAGAACUUGCGGAGCAUGCAGAGGCUUGAUUUCUUGUCCGGGAAGAGCGCCGGAGCCUCCAACUCCAGGAUGCCGUGAUUGCGUAAUUUUCAGAUGCUGUAAUCACAUAAGAUAUGUCAGUGGCUCAGUGGCAGUGUGUCUUGUUUUCACUGUAAACCUGAAUUCUGGAAUGGAACAGUUUCUCUUUGUACACGGCGAGCACAAUCGGAGAAAUGGCUUGAUUGAAUUUGGCAAGGAUUUAACACCUUUGGAUUGUUCAACAUCCACUUCGGUGGCGGCGUCUUCAUCCAUCGCGCCGGUGUUGUCCUCGUACUUGACCGUUUAACCCCUCCGCUGCCGGCGUGCAUCUGAUUCAGGGCUUCAGGCUGCGUGGGGGAGUAUGUGGUGGGCCGUAUUAUCUGGGCUCUGGAAUGAAGGAACAGGCCUAGUAAACUUCAGGCCCUAGCAUGGACGGUCCAUAUGGGGCCCGCUAUGGUAGCGAUCCUGUUUGUUCAGGUUUUCGUGGGCCUACAGCCUCAACGCGAAGGAAUAAGUCCACACUGAUUCCCUGAUUCAAUGAGCCACGUCAGACUAGGCCAACAAGCCAGGUCAGCAAAAAAAAAAAACACCCUCACUUACGGAAUGGCCACUCUGGCUCGCGCCGCCUGCUUGGUGCAUAGUGCUAACUACUCCUAGGAGUAAUUAACCCUUUUGACAUAAUCACACUAUCACAUUGACAGCGCCAACGCCGUUGCUUAUCCGUGUGAUCAAUGGCAUCAUUUCGUUUCCGGAUCAAGGACGAUAGGUGUGAAUCAGAGAAUCAAUUCAGAGGUACCUGUCUUAGAGCAUCUCCAACAGCCUCUCUAAAUAACUCUCCAAGCCAAAUUUUAGCCAUUCUAGUGAAAAAACAUCCUUUAACAGCCUCUCCAACCAGAUAGCUAAGCCAUCUGACUGGCCAAAACCCUCCCUCCACCUCCACUAGCCAAAUUUGGCCAGCCAAAAUGACUGGCCAACUGUGGGCCCCACGCACAUUAACAUCCGGCUAUUCUCUCUCAUUGUUGCACGCGACCGCACGGUCGUCCGCGGCCUCCGCCGACGUCCGCGCCAUCGCCGGCCACGGCCUAAGCUACCGUAGUCCACGCCAUCACCCGCCAUGACCGUCGCCGCCAUCCGUGUCGUCGCUGACCGCGACCUCCGCCGUCGUCCGCGAGCCCCGCCGCCGGCCGCGGCCACGCCGUCGCCCGCCGCCGCUGGCACGAGCUCUGCAGAAGAACGAGCAGAGGAUGGGAGAAAGGGGGAGGAAGAAGAAAGAGAAGAAUAACAGGUGGGGUCCAUUGGUUAAUAGAGAGUGGGAUGUAAAGAGUCUGUUGAAAUAGAAGAUAAAUUUCACUCUCUAAAUUUUUGUUAGACUGGUCAAUUAGAUAUUUGGAGAGUCAAAAAUAGCCGCACUGUUAGAGAUGCUCUUCCAUCCCAAGGCAAACGACUUCGUGUGUGUCAUCUAGAUCCGCCGCGCGAUAUCCGAUAUGCAGGCUGUUCCUCAUUCGACCAGAUCUGUUCAUCCGCCAAGGGGCAGAGAGCGACUUCAGUUGCUACGGCGUGUACGGAUGUUACUCCCUGGCACGUUUCGAUCUGACCUCUUGUACUCCCUCUGUUCCAAAAUAAGUUCUGCGCCUAACUUUAACCAUUCAUCUUAUUUAAAUUUUCUUUUUAAAAAAAUUAAAAACAUAAGUCAUGAGUAAAGUACUAUUUAUGUUUUAUCAUCUUAUAUCAACAAAAAUGCUAAUUAUAAAAAAAUUUCGAAUAAGACAAACGAUCAAAAUUGGACGCGAAAACUUAUGGUUGCACUUAUUUUGGGACGGAGAUAGUAACUGCUACAGCCAGAUCAACGGACUGCAACAUCGCCAAGCAUGUCUUUGCAUGACGUGUGGCAGGAAAUCAUCUAGGGAAGUGUUAAAUCAAAUGCAGUCAUCGUGGACAAAAUACCUGGCCAGGGACAUGUUGCAAGGUGUCAGGUGUUGAAACUUGAAAGGCGUUGAUCAAAGUGUGCACGGUCACCUGUCAUCCAAAUGAAAAGUGCGGCCCGGCAGACGGCAGUGGAACCUGUCCGGUGUUUCUAGGAUCUGAAUGUGCACAGCUCUAUAGCUUAGCUGAGCUAAUUCGAUUAGAGCAGGUGAACCAACUCUUUAUAAUUACGAUACUAACCAGGACGAAGCGAACGGAAGCUGUCGAGGGCAGCUACUACAAUCAAACAACAGAAGAGGAAUACGCACACACCAGUUGACAAAAUAAUUUUCCAUGUCUGAACCGAAAGCAACACUCGACAUGUUUGUUCAGAGUUUCACAAGAUUAAUAAUGGACAGGACCCAGCAUCAGGGCGGCUAGAGCCUGGAAGCAACGAAUGCGUGCUGUCCUAUGAUUCUCAUCAUUCAAAAGUUCGGUCGCGGCAAUUAAUUUAACGCAUAAAACUAGUACAAGAUUGUGGAGUAUUAGAAUUUUUAAUAUCUGAGGGAAAGAACUACGUACUACAAGAACUUGGAUCAUUCAGCAUAUAUAGCAGUUAUGGACCAACGAGCUACUUGUUGGAGACCUAACUACCGGUCAAUAUAUCUGCUACACCAACUUUCACGUAAGAUACAGUAUUUUUUUCUUUUUGUCACAGAAAUGUUGAGCAUUUUCUAUUGUUCUAGUAUUUGAGUAUUCGGUAUUUGGAUUAAUCAGCCUUUGUACCACAUGUUCCUAAUUUGAUCAGCAUGUACUAAGUCAAAAUUCAACGACCAGUUCGUGAUAACUAUCAUUAUGUAUUUUGUAAAUUAAUAUUUUGCGUUCCUACUUCGCACCUUCGUUUAUCCGCGGUCGCUUAGUAAGACUGAACACAAAGACCGAAAUGGAUAAUAGUCUGAAAGAUGUGAACUACCAUUUGCACGUAAAGAAAAUUAUUAGUGCUGAUACGAACCACUUCUACUUGUAUUAUAAAAAAAGGAUUAGGACAAAUAAGGAGGGUUUUGGUUAUCAAAUAAUUGGAAGAAAAUGUGAGUGUAUUAAGAAUUGAACACGAAACCUUGAGAAUGAAACCACACUCCUUACCACUCCAAUAAAAGUGCAUCUCCUUCUUGCAUUAUAUUUUUGUUGUGACAAGAUUGAGAAGGAUCCAAUAUCUUACUAGCUAGUAUCAUAAGUUAGUAGGCUAGUUAGUGGGUUAGAGGUCUAGUUAAUCUGGAUUCGAGACUCAAUUCCUCCGGUCCUCCUUAAUACCAUUGAUAUGGAAGUCAUUCCUUUCAUAUCCAUAUCCACUUUUAAGGAUGUUCGAAAGCGGAGUUGUUAUUUGACGCGCAUGUGCCAGAAACGGAACUGCCGCACGCCAGUCGGCGCUCCUCACUCGUUUUGUCGUUUUCUUUCUCUCUUUUUUUUGCCAUUUUUUUCUUUUUCUUUUUUCCCAUCUUUUUGCUUCUUCUUUUUUUUUCGCUCCCCCUCCACUCAAGAAUUUUCCUUUUUUUCAUGUUUUUUUCCAAUAUUUUUAAUCGUUAGCACACAUGUUUUCGAAAUAUUUGAGUCGAAAGUUUUCAAAUCUUAACUUGAAAGUUUUCCAAUCUGAAGAAAGUUUCAAAUCUAGAGUUGUAAGUUUUCAAAUUUCAAGUCGAAAGUUUUCAAAUCUGAGUCGAAAGUUUUUAAAUCUGAGUUGAAAGUUUUCAAAAUUUGUCUUACAAAAUUAAAUUUUGAGUACAAAAUUUUCAAAAUUUGAGUUGAAAGUUUCACAUAUAAUUUUUUUUCAAUCUGUUAUGGAAAAAAAUCUUUUCUUAAUUACCGUCAUUAUCCUAAACUAACUCAGUUAGGUACGUUAACUCUUAGGAAAAAGCGCGCGCGCCAACUUUUCCGGUUUGAAAGAUUGAUGUCAUCGACUACACUUGUUAGGGAUUGGUCUGUUUUUUUAGACAAUUGGAUUUUUAUUGGAUAAUGAUGGCUGUCGGGCGACCGGGCGGGGGGAGGAAAAAUCGGUCGCUCACCCCGCCCCCGCCCCCGCCCCCGCGCGCACGCUGAUAUCGCUGGCCCCACCACAAUACCUGUCCCCACCUGUAACAAAUCAACCACAUAUUUUUAAAACCCUCUAUUAAGGGAAUUUGGUUUAUUUUCUGUUCCACAAAAAAUGUUUUACCUAGUGUACUCACAAUGUUUCACUAUGUAUAGAUCUAAUGUUGCAGUAAACUGAAAUAUUCCAUUGCAAAAAAAAAACCCACAUAUUUUGGAAACCCCCUAUUAAGGGAAUUCGUUUUAUUUUUUAUUCCAUCAAAAAAAUAUUUUACCUAGUGCAUUUAUAAUAGUUCACUAUGUAUGGAUCAAAUGUUGCAGUGAACUGAAACAAUCUUUCACUAUUUGCUAAAACGUUGUUUCUACAUAAGGUGAAACAACACCCAAUUUAAACGAGUGAAACAUUUUUGAUCUACUUAGUGAAACAAUUCCGAUAUACCUGGUGGAACAUCGUGCAAUAUUUAAAAAUAAUUCAAUAAUAAGCUAAAAAAAUUGUCGUCGGAAUAUAUCCAUGUGGGUCUUGUUUUCAAGAUUUAAUUGCAACGAAUUUAAUGGUGCAAUCGAAUCAUGAUUUGGAUAAGUAAUUUAAGAGAAAAAUCGGUUUAAAGUAGUUUUUGCACGUAAAUCGGGCGCUGAGAUUUUUCUACAAAUCGUCGGGCGCCCGAGCCGUAGGCGGCCCCAUUUUUAUUAAUCCGGCCUCUAUAUCCACGAGGGAUAUACACAGCCAACAGAAUACAAGAGCACUUAGACCAUGUUUAGAUGGAACUAAAACUUUUAAGUCCCUAUCACAUCAUAUGUUUGGAUAAUAAUUAUAAAUAUUAAACGUAGACUAUUAAUAAAACCCAUAUAUAAUCUUGGACUAAUUCGCGAGAUAAAUCUAUUGAGCCUAAUUAAUACAUGAUUAGCCUAUCUGAUGCUACAGUAAACAUUCUCUACUUAUGGAUUAAUUAGACUUAAAAAAUUUGUCUCGCAAAUUAGCUUUCAUUUAUAUAAUUAGUUUUGUAGGUAGUCUAUAUUUAAUAUUUUAAAUUAGUGUCUAAAUACAGAGACUAAAGUUAAGUCUCUCGAUCCAAACACCACCUUACACUCAUAACUCAACAAAGAGAAAAACAUACAACCGAAAAACGGAAAACCUACAACCUCAACAAUCUGAGCAAGUUAAGAUAUUUUAGUACAAGCACAAGUGAACCUCUAACUCCAAAUAGCAGGAUGUUCUCAAAAUGAUUGCUGAAGUAAGUUGACGAAACAUAUCAACAUUUGAGCUAAACAUACCUACGGUUAAUAUGAACCUUGAUAAAGCAAAAGGACAAGAAACACGAACUCUCCAAGGACAGUAGUAGUACUGCACUACUGCUUAUUAAAAGUUCUACUAUACUUCCUCCAUCUAAAAAAAGUCAAACUCUAGAUUUCCGUACCAACAUUUGACUGUCCGUCUUAUAUGAGAUUUUUUUAUAAUUAGUAUUUUUAUUAUUGUUAGAUGAUAAAACAUAAUUAAUACUUUAUGCGUAACUUAUCUUUUUAAUUUUUUUUCAUAAUUUUUUCAAAUAAGACGGACGGUCAAACGUUAGACACGGAAAUUAGGGUUUGUCUUUUUUUAGGACGGAGGGAGUAUAUGCAAAGAAAAGUAUUUGAUAGGUAACUUUGGAUAUUACUGCCCAUUUCAGCGCCUUUUCUCCAACUUUUUUCCCCAUGAAUUGUACUUUUCCAGGUUCUGAAUUUUCAGUGAUAAUAUAAAGCUCCUCUUUGAUGGAAAUGCUAGCAACCAUCAUUUUUGUUCCUUUGGUCAUAUUCCAGCUUUUGUCCAGUGUUGAACAUGUCGUCAGAAAUUCUUCCAAUAGUAAGCGAUCGCAUCGAUUGCGUUAUUCGAUAUUCAGUUAUCUCCAAAAUAGGAGACGACUCAGCGAGGAGAUUUACCCGUUUACUUUUCUUUCUCGAUCUUGGAAGCAAUAUCUGUAUUCGUUUUCUUCUAGCUAAUAUUACCAAACAGCAGAAAGAGACUGAUCUCUAACAUAAGGAAGGCAAUGCAUAAGGACAGCUCUAUCGUGGCAGAAAAGAACCAGAAACCCCAACUUGACACACUACGUUGUACAUCAUGAACCUGAAGUAGUACAUCGUGUACUUCCUUUUGAGUAGUACAAAUGUACUGCGGUACUGCCUGUUUGUGAGGUGCUAUGAUUGUUCAUCUCGUUUUCGCAUAGAGAUUUCAAUGUGAGAAGUUCGGUUGGGACAUCGGUUCGGUAUGAGUAUGUGCAAUCGCAAUCCUGACCAACUGCAUGGAUUUUAUAUUUAAUUAAUCCAGUAGAAAUGAAAGCGACUAGCGUCUAGAAGUCUUCAGGUUUGUCCUCGCCGCGGUUGCUAGUUCUCUGGCCCUUCAAAAUUCAAAUAUUCAAUGCAGUAUACUCGUCUACUAUUUCGAGAUAGGCCUUCCGUUUCGGGCUUUGCCGGAAUGACGGUUUUCGCGAAAUCCGGUGAAAAGCCGGCAGAUUCCGAACAAAUUUCAUAAACCAAAAUUUGAAUAUAAAUUCCCUAAGUUUACCGAUAAGCUCGCGAAAACAGGUCGUCUUUAGCGAAAUUCCGAGCAAAAUCAUUUAAAUUUCGAGGUGAACUAUUUUUUUUCUUUUUUUAAGUUCGUUAUUCUUUUCUUUACUACGGUAAAUUUCAGUAAAUACAAGGAGUACAUCAAUUUUUCCGAAAAUUUCUAUCCCAAUAAGUUAUAUGAAUAUCAUACUAUUUAUAAGAUUUUAUUUUUUUUUCUUUUUUAUCAAUUUAAAUUUGAAUUUGGAUGAAACUCAUCGAAAUCUCAGACAGCUUGUACUUUCGAAACCUAAAAUUUCACGGAAUUCGACUGGUUUUCGUCAGAAUUGUGAACCUAACUCUGAAUCCUUUUGGUCCAUUCUUGAUAGUCAAAUUCAUCUGUAUACAUACACGGGAGCGUUCAUCUUGCCAGUAGCCAACUAUGCCAAUAACAGCUAAAACGGGAGCGUUCACGGAGUAAACUAGUAAAAGCUAGAGCUGAAAUGAACGACCAAGUCACUUUGCUUCGUCACAGAACCAAAGCAAAGCCACAAACAGUUCAGCUCCUACUUGCGUACGGUCGUCUGCUUAUACUGUCAGUACACGGUGUCAAAGUAGCUGCAGAAGCCAACAGAUAUUCGUAGAAAUAUCAGAUACGUACAGACAUCGCACCAGAUUGCAUUGGAAAACUGGACACAAAAACGGAAGGCAAAGAGUAAAGACUAGUCUACGUGACGAACAUGUCGAUAAUCCUGGAGUCUGAUCAGGUUGUAAAUAAGGCCCGGUCAUGCGUUUUCAGAGAAACGCGUGUUUGGCGUCCAUAUGGCACGCGCCUUCAGCACUUCAGCCUGCCGCAAGACCAAGAAAUAUUGCAGCCUCCAACAACUCAUCCCGUGUGUUCAUUCUACGUAGAUCCGGGAGACGACUCUGUCGACGACGCUAGCCGGCCUGUCGGAUGCACGUGGGGAAAAAAUCUGCUAAUCCUCUGCUUACAGGCUAAUCUACUCCUAUGCGUUUAUGACAUCGCAUCGAUAUGAAAUUCAGCAUCAUUGUGUAAAGAAAUUACAAAGGUUGAGAUUUUUAGGAGCUUAUAUUUAGUACAGUGCCAGCUUUAGAUAUAUAUAUUAAAAAACGAACUGUCAGUCUGUCAAGGGCAUGCUAACAUCAGAAAAUUGAAAAGAACACAUGCGCAAUUGCCUGAGGCAAAAGAAAAGGAUGGCGGGACGAGGACGAAAGGUAGCAGAAGCAAACGGUUUGACCGAGCUGUCCGAGCAGAAACACGGGGGGGUACAGUCCUGAACUUGCUCUUUCACCUAAUCCUCUUGCAGUUUUUCUAUUGGUUUCUGCCUCGCCAGCUUCAACUACUCUCCUCCAGGCAACCCACUAAACGUGGAAAAGGUCUGCAUCCAUCCGACCUCUGCCGUUGUGGUGCAGGCAUUGAGGCGUAUGAGUAUGACUACGUGCAGCCGAUCUGGAGAUAGUGCCAAUUGUAAAACAAUUGUGACAGUUUAAUGGCAUAGGCAUACUCUGCAAUGUCCAUUCGCUGAAACAAUCUUUUUACUGAAACAAAUAGGAGAACGUAGUAGGUGACUUCAAUCCGUUGAAAUAAACAAGAACCUUCAGAAUAUGCCUCCUAUGCAUAAUCUAAACAAAAAUAAUGCCUGCACUUCACGGCAUACGGUCCGGUGUACAGACUGAACCAUAAAAAAGACGUGAAUAUUAGAGAAUGAUCUAAUAUCAAAUAAUUAAAAGAGCUUUCGAACCCAGGUUGUCUAGCCCACCACCUUGUGAAGCUAGUCGAAAGACUUCUGGACGUUUCUUGUAGAGUCUGAACCAUAAUUUAAGUUUUUUUAAGAAAAUAAUUUUAGUUUUUUUAAUGUAAAGGCCAUAAUUUAAGUUUCCCUAGAAGUUUUAACGGGCACAUGUCUGAAUGAAUUAUACCACCUCGAUUAUUCAGGCACCUAAUAAGGUACUAGUUGAAGGCUGCUAACUCCCAACAUGACAUGUAUAGUGCUGAUGACCAUGUCAAGUUAUCAACUGUGAAGCUUCGAGCCACACGCCUACUCCCCCAACAACCGCGCGAGGAGCUUGCAUAUAAGCCUCUCCCUUUCCCAAAUCCUCUCACCAGCAGCAGCAGCUUCACGCCUCUCCUACUGCACAUUGCACCUCGAGUCCAGAGGCUGAGAGAGCUCACGGGGAGAAGCAAACCAAAAGCCCAAAGGACUUUUCUACCAUGGCGUGGCAACUCCUCGCCGGCGUGCUGCUGCUGCAGCUCGCGGCGAGCGCGGCGGGGCAGCAGCAGUGCCUGUCCGCGACGUUCCAGAACGGGCAGACGUUCCUGAAGUGCAACCCGCUGCCGGUGCUCGGCGCCAGCCUGCACUGGACGCACCACGCCGAGAACGGCACGGCGGACGUCGCGUUCCGCGCCCCGCAGCAGAGCAGCGGCUGGGUCGCCUGGGGGAUCAACACCCGCGGCACCACCAUGCCCGGCAGCAGCGUGUUCAUCGCCUCGCAGGACGGCAGCGGCUCCGUGUCCGUCCUCAUGACCGUGCUGGAGAACACCAGCCCGAGCCUGACCAACGGCAGCCUCAGCUUCGACGUGCUGUCCCCGCCCACCGCCGACUACACCAACGGCGUGUACACCAUCUUCGCCACCAUCGCGCUGCCCAACAACUCCACGACGCAGAACACCGUGUGGCAGGCCGGGCCAGGGAGCACCGGGAACGUCGGCCAGCACGCGACGUCCGGCCCCAACGUGCAGAGCAUGCUGAGGCUCGACUUCAGCUCCGGCCAGAGCACCGGUACCGCCUCCAACUCCAGGCUGCACCGCCGUAACGUAAGUUCUUCUCCUCCUCCUUGUUGAUCGAUUCAGUGAACUUUUUCAAUUAGAGGAUGUUGCUUCUCGAGUUUAUUUUAGACGUUAGGCAUGUCACCAACUAACGAUAGGUAAUCAACUAGAGGUCAGUCAUCGGUGUCAUCCUUUUAAAGAUUUUCAUUUUAGGAUCGCCGAAUUGUUUUGAUCAGAUAUUCCAUUCCAGUUGAGUUGAGGAUGACUGGAGGAUUGAGAAUUAAUCCUGUUGGAUUGAUCAAUUGACAUGAUGAUAUACAUAACCUAACCAAAUAGAUAGGCAAUUUUGGCGGCUAACUUUUAAUAACACGAUGUGGUUAGUUCAACAACCGGAUAGAGAUGGGAUUAGGAGACGUUAUCCCUUCUGCUCAUCUGUUUCUAGAAAAAAAAAAUGAAGGGUCAAAAUUCAACUCCGAGAAGCAACCAAGCCUGCAACUGUCCCAACUUUUGUGACAUGCAGUUGCUCAAGUUGCUCAACCAGUACACACAAUUUUCUUUUUCAUAGUUGAUCACGAAACAACUACUUGUUUGGUUUAAUUUGAUUCGAGAUUAUCCUUAAUCUGCACCAAACUAAUCAACGCAUGGUCGUACGUACAGAUCCAUGGCAUCCUGAACGCGGUGAGCUGGGGCAUCCUGAUCCCGAUGGGCGCCAUGAUCGCGCGCUACCUCCGCGUGUUCGAGGCCGCCGACCCGGCAUGGUUCUACCUCCACAUCACCUGCCAGCUCUCCGGCUACAUCCUCGGCGUCGCCGGCUGGGCCCUCGGCCUCAAGCUCGGCAGCGAGUCCAAGGGCAUCACCUACAGCGCCCACCGCAACAUCGGCAUCGCCAUCUUCUGCCUCGCCACGCUCCAGGUGUUCGCGCUGCUGCUGAGGCCCGACAAGAAGAACAAGUACAGGUUCUACUGGAACAUCUACCACCACUCCGUCGGCUACUCCGCCAUCGUCCUCGCCGCCGUCAACAUCUUCAAGGGCCUCGACAUCCUCAAGCCGGCCAGCGGCUGGAAGAGGAGCUACAUUGCCAUCCUCGCCACGCUCGCCGGCGUCGCGCUCCUGCUCGAGGCCAUCACCUGGGUCAUCGUCCUCCGGCGGAAGAAGAGCGACAAGUCGUCGUCGCCGUACGGCGCCACCAACGGCAACGGG
Molecule: long non-coding RNA, 12307 nt
Filed under: Oryza sativa (Asian cultivated rice)
Lineage: Eukaryota; Viridiplantae; Streptophyta; Magnoliopsida; Poales; Poaceae
Description: long non-coding RNA (OSAT_LNC000507)
Rfam family: MIR812 microRNA precursor family (bases 7194-7399)
Source: RNAcentral